GAAACACGAGGUUCACACAUUGCGUCACGUGCAUUUCUUUGGGAUUCCAGUGUCUUGCGCAUGCGAUGAAACGUAGGAUACAACGUGCUACGAGAAACUCGUGAACGAAACGAACCUACCGUUUACACCGUCUCUCCGCCGUUCACCGCAGGAUAGUUCCACUGCUGCAAACACCCAGUCACGCACACUUUCACCGACAAACAGAGACGUCUACGUAUAAGUAAACGGAGGAAAAAAUGAUACUUCUAU
This 249-nucleotide long non-coding RNA is filed under the name Habropoda laboriosa. RNAcentral's name for it is "uncharacterized LOC108572080, transcript variant X1". Lineage: Eukaryota; Metazoa; Arthropoda; Insecta; Hymenoptera; Apidae. The record is from RNAcentral.